Molecule: ribosomal RNA, 441 nt
Filed under: uncultured bacterium
Lineage: Bacteria
Description: partial 16S ribosomal RNA
Rfam family: Bacterial small subunit ribosomal RNA
Source: RNAcentral
CCUACGGGAGGCAGCAGUGGGGAAUAUUGCACAAUGGGGGGAACCCUGAUGCAGCGACGCCGCGUGAGUGAAGAAGUAUUUCGGUAUGUAAAGCUCUAUCAGCAGGAACGAGACAAGACGGUACCUGACUAAGAAGCCCCGGCUAACUACGUGCCAGCAGCCGCGGUAAUACGUAGGGGGCAAGCGUUAUCCGGAAUCACUGGGUGUAAAGGGAGCGUAGACGGCUGAGCAAGCCUGAAGUGAAAGGCGGGGGCCCAACCCCCGGACUGCUUUGGGAACUGUACGGCUGGAGGGCAGGAGAGGUAAGUAGAAUUCCUAGUGUAGCGGUGAAAUGCGUAGAUAUUAGGAGGAACACCAGUGGCGAAGGCGGCUUACUGGACUGUAACUGACGUUGAGGCGCGAAAGCGUGGGGAGCAAACAGGAUUAGAUACCCCAGUAGUC